AGGCUCCAGGCUCUGAGCUGUCAGCACAGAGCCCGACGUGGGGCUCGAACUCACGGACCGCAAGAUCAUGACCUGAGCCGAAGUCGGACGCUUAACCGACUGAGCCACCCAGGCGCCCCUCUGUACUCUUAUUUUAAAGGUCCAGGCUGCUUUAAAGGAGCACAGAAUGUCGAAAUGAGAAGCUGCUGACUGAACAAGUCAAAGGGUUCCACUUUCCACCUGUGCCGAGACCCUGUGCUCUCCAGGAAACAAUCUCUCAGCUGUGAAAAAAGACAGGCUGGUGUGGACGUCCCUCAAUGCAGGCAGCUGCCUAUAAACAGAUUGCCCUCCGAAGCCAGAGACCCCAUGUUACCCCGACCUGUGGGAGCAAAGUCUGUGUAAAAAUGCAGCCAACAAGAAGUCUCAGGUCCCAUGAAUUACAGACAGGUGGCUUGAGUACCAAGUAAAGAGUUAGAUGCCUUUGGAGCGUCCUUUCAGAUCAAAGAUCCUGUAAUCCUGAGGAUACAUAGGAGCAUAGCUUACUUUCCAAACUUGGCCUGUCCUUGAGAGCGUGGUCCAAACGCCUCAUCUUCCUGUGAGGAUCCCUGAUCCAUCCCAGGUGGGAGAGACUCUUCUCCCCUCUGAAAGCUCAUAACACUUUGUCCCUUUAAAGAAAAAAAUAAAGCAUCUGCACCUUU
This is a long non-coding RNA of Felis catus (domestic cat), 677 nucleotides long. RefSeq lists it as uncharacterized. The transcript has 2 exons. NCBI's taxonomy places the organism in Eukaryota, Metazoa, Chordata, Mammalia, Carnivora, Felidae. The record is from RefSeq and is a predicted model, not a curated record.